AUCCUGGCUUAGGACGAACGCUGGCGGCGUGCCUAAUACAUGCAAGUCGAACGGUCUUUCUAUGGAAGCUUGCUUCACUGAGAAGAUAGUGGCGAACGGGUGAGUAACACGUGGGUAACCUGCCCAUAAGAGGGGGAUAACAUCCGGAAACGGGUGCUAAUACCGCAUAGUUUUCUUGAUCGCAUGAUCGGGAAAGGAAAGACGGCCUUUGUGCUGUCGCUUAUGGAUGGACCCGCGGCGUAUUAGUUAGUUGGUGAGGUAACGGCUCACCAAGACGAUGAUACGUAGCCGACCUGAGAGGGUGAUCGGCCACAUUGGGACUGAGACACGGCCCAAACUCCUACGGGAGGCAGCAGUAGGGAAUCUUCCGCAGUGGACGAAAGUCUGACGGAGCAACGCCGCGUGAGUGAAGAAAAGGGUUUUCGGAUCGUAAAACUCUGCUGUCAGAGAAGAACAAGUUGGAGAGUAACUGCUCCAGCCUUGACGGUAUCUGACCAGAAAGCCACGGCUAACUACGUGCCAGCCGCCGC
Molecule: ribosomal RNA, 530 nt
Filed under: uncultured bacterium
Lineage: Bacteria
Description: bacterial SSU rRNA
Rfam family: Bacterial small subunit ribosomal RNA
Source: RNAcentral